Molecule: ribosomal RNA, 532 nt
Filed under: uncultured kinetoplastid
Lineage: Eukaryota; Euglenozoa; Kinetoplastea
Description: bacterial SSU rRNA
Rfam family: Eukaryotic small subunit ribosomal RNA
Source: RNAcentral
GCUGUUAAGGGUUCGUAGUUGAAUUGAGGGCGCUCAAGUGGUCGGUCCAGUCCCACUCUGCUUCGUGCAGUCGGCGACUCCCGCUCUUGACGCUCGUGAACGACAGAAACAAAUAUCACGGGUUCUACUUCCCCCCAACAUCUCUACGCGUUCUAUGCACGCCGUGUGAGGGGAUGCCCGUGUUUUUUCUGUGACUAAAAAAGCGCGACCAAAGCAGUCAAGCGACAUGAAUUUCAAGCAUGGGAUAACAGCGAAGCAUCUUACGGAUUACCGUUUCGGCUUUUGUUGGUUUUAAGAUCUGUGGGAGGUUAUGGUCUGGUAUGACAAGCGGUUCGCGGGCACCUAGUGUCUCGCUCGCCUUCCGCCCCUUCGGCUCUUGUCGUCGGGAUCCGGUUUACUCGGACUAGGAAUGAGGAGGGUUGUUCGGGGGAGAACGUACUUGAGCGUGAGAGGUGAAAUUCUUAGACCGCUCAAGACGAACUACAGCGAAGGCAUUCUCCAAGGAUACCUUCAUCAAUCAAGAACCAAAGUG